AUAUCAUCAUCUUGCUCAGAGAGACCUCUGGACACACCCUAUGCGCAACCUUCUCACCCCCUCCCCCCCCAAAUAAAGCAACUAUGCAGCAAUGUGACCAUCUACUUUCAGAGUGCAGGUUGAGCCACCCACUUCAUGUAUGUGUCUCAGAGCAACCAGGAAGAAGCUGGCAAUCACUGUCUUCCUUCCUCACUGGGCAUCUGCUAAGUGUGUGGGGCCAUUCAGGAUCAGAAUCCACGAUGGAGAACUCUGAAGUGCAUCCUUUCCUUUGCCUGUUCACCUUGUUCUCAUUCAACAACGAGACGUCCCUGGUUCUGAAAUCUUGGCUCUGUGUGGUUUGGACUUUGCUUGCCUUCUCUGUGCCCGUUUCCUCACUUGGAAAAGACAUGGCAUCAACUGUUUUUGAAUUCAGAUUCUUCCUACAUGUUAUGCACCUUGGUGCCUCUUCUUAGGCACAGAUAACAGCUACUGGAUUAGUUCUUCAUGCCACUGUGAGAGUUUUUUCAAUGUUGUCUCCCUCUUUUUCUCUCUCUAUCUCAUGCUCUCUUUCUCUGUGUUUCUCUCUCUCUC
Non-coding RNA from Myodes glareolus (Bank vole), 570 nucleotides. The record is from RefSeq and is a predicted model, not a curated record. NCBI's taxonomy places the organism in Eukaryota, Metazoa, Chordata, Mammalia, Rodentia, Cricetidae.